ACGCUGGCGGCAGGCCUAACACAUGCAAGUCGAGCGGUAGAGAGAAGCUUGCUUCUCUUGAGAGCGGCGGACGGGUGAGUAAUGCCUAGGAACCUGCCUGGUAGUGGGGGAUAACGUUCGGAAACGGACGCUAAUACCGCAUACGUCCUACGGGAGAAAGCAGGGGACCUUCGGGCCUUGCGCUAUCAGAUGAGCCUAGGUCGGAUUAGCUAGUUGGUGAGGUAAUGGCUCACCAAGGCGACGAUCCGUAACUGGUCUGAGAGGAUGAUCAGUCACACUGGAACUGAGACACGGUCCAGACUCCUACGGGAGGCAGCAGUGGGGAAUAUUGGACAAUGGGCGAAAGCCUGAUCCAGCCAUGCCGCGUGUGUGAAGAAGGUCUUCGGAUUGUAAAGCACUUUAAGUUGGGAGGAAGGGUUGUAGAUUAAUACUCUGCAAUUUUGACGUUACCGACAGAAUAAGCACCGGCUAACUCUGUGCCAGCAGCCGCGGUAAUACAGAGGGUGCAAGCGUUAAUCGGAAUUACUGGGCGUAAAGCGCGCGUAGGUGGUUUGUUAAGUUGGAUGUGAAAUCCCCGGGCUCAACCUGGGAACUGCAUUCAAAACUGACUGACUAGAGUAUGGUAGAGGGUGGUGGAAUUUCCUGUGUAGCGGUGAAAUGCGUAGAUAUAGGAAGGAACACCAGUGGCGAAGGCGACCACCUGGACUAAUACUGACACUGAGGUGCGAAAGCGUGGGGAGCAAAC
This 745-nucleotide ribosomal RNA is filed under the name uncultured bacterium. Its description in RNAcentral is "bacterial SSU rRNA". It matches the Rfam family "Bacterial small subunit ribosomal RNA", at positions 33 to 773 of the family's 1533-position model. The record is from RNAcentral.